RNAcentral lists this ribosomal RNA (340 nucleotides) under uncultured bacterium. RNAcentral's name for it is "partial 16S ribosomal RNA". It matches the Rfam family "Bacterial small subunit ribosomal RNA", at positions 338 to 675 of the family's 1533-position model. The record is from RNAcentral.
CCUACGGGGGGCAGCAGUGAGGAAUAUUGGUCAAUGGGCGCGAGCCUGAACCAGCCAAGUAGCGUGAAGGAUGACUGCCCUACGGGUUGUAAACUUCUUUUAUAAAGGAAUAAAGUGUGGAAUGUGUGCCUUUUUUCAUGUACUUUAUGAAUAAGGAUCGGCUAACUCCGUGCCAGCAGCCGCGGUAAUGCGGAGGAUCCGAGCGUUACCCGGAUUUGUUGGGUUUAAAGGGAGCUUAGAUGGGUUGUUAAGUCAGUUGUGAAAGUUUGCGGCUCAACCGUAAAAUUGCAAUUGAUACUGGCAGUCUUGAGGACAGGUGGGGUAGGCUGAAUUCGUGGGG